AGCCUGCCCAUUGAUAAAUUUAACGGCCGCGGUAUUCUGACCGUGCAAAGGUAGCACAACCACUUGUUCUCUAAAUAAGGACUAGUAUGAACGGCAUCACGAGGACUUUACUGUCUCCCCCUUUUAAUUAGUGAAACUGAUCUCCCCGUGAAAAAGCGAGGAUUUACCUAUAAGACGAGAAGACCCCAUGGAGCUUUAAACCUAAGCUAAUUGUUCGAAUUUUUUCCACAAAACAUAACAAACUAUAGUACUUCUGGUUUUUGGUUGGGGCAACCGCGGAGAAAAACUAACCCUCCGCAAUGAAUGAGCCUCCCCUCUAAGCUCUGAAUAACCAUUCUAGCCAUCAAAAACUUGAUAUUUUUGACCCAUCAGAAAUGCAUGAGCAAUGAACCAAGUUACCCUGGGGAUAACAGCGCAAUCCAUUAUUAGAGUUCAUAUCGACUUUUGGGUUUACGACCUCGAUGUUGGAUCAGGAUGUCCAAGUGGUGCAGCCGCUACUAAAGGUUCGUUUGUUCAACGAUUAAAAUCCUACGUGAUCUGAGUUCAGACCGGA
This 553-nucleotide ribosomal RNA is filed under the name Hemisus marmoratus (mottled shovel-nosed frog). RNAcentral describes it as "partial 16S ribosomal RNA". It matches the Rfam family "Bacterial large subunit ribosomal RNA", at positions 1856 to 2620 of the family's 2925-position model. The record is from RNAcentral. Lineage: Eukaryota; Metazoa; Chordata; Amphibia; Anura; Hemisotidae.